RNAcentral lists this ribosomal RNA (254 nucleotides) under uncultured bacterium. Its description in RNAcentral is "partial 16S ribosomal RNA". It matches the Rfam family "Bacterial small subunit ribosomal RNA", at positions 524 to 776 of the family's 1533-position model. The record is from RNAcentral.
UACGUAGGGUGCGAGCGUUAAUCGGAAUUACUAGGCGUAAAGCGUGCGCAGGCGGUCUGUUAAGACCGAUGUGAAAUCCCCGGGCUUAACCUGGGAACUGCAUUGGUGACUGGCAGGCUUUGAGUGUGGCAGAGGGAGGUAGAAUUCCACGUGUAGCAGUGAAAUGCGUAGAGAUGUGGAGGAAUACCGAUGGCGAAGGCAGCCUCCUGGGCCAACACUGACGCUCAUGCACGAAAGCGUGGGGAGCAAACAGG